RNAcentral lists this ribosomal RNA (925 nucleotides) under Fusarium solani. Its description in RNAcentral is "partial large subunit ribosomal RNA". It matches the Rfam family "Eukaryotic large subunit ribosomal RNA", at positions 23 to 978 of the family's 3401-position model. Lineage: Eukaryota; Fungi; Ascomycota; Sordariomycetes; Hypocreales; Nectriaceae. The record is from RNAcentral.
ACCCGCUGAACUUAAGCAUAUCAAUAAGCGGAGGAAAAGAAACCAACAGGGAUUGCCCCAGUAACGGCGAGUGAAGCGGCAACAGCUCAAAUUUGAAAUCUGGCUCUCGGGCCCGAGUUGUAAUUUGUAGAGGAUGCUUUUGGUGAGGUGCCUUCCGAGUUCCCUGGAACGGGACGCCAUAGAGGGUGAGAGCCCCGUCUGGUUGGACGCCGAACCUCUGUAAAGCUCCUUCGACGAGUCGAGUAGUUUGGGAAUGCUGCUCUAAAUGGGAGGUAUAUGUCUUCUAAAGCUAAAUACCGGCCAGAGACCGAUAGCGCACAAGUAGAGUGAUCGAAAGAUGAAAAGAACUUUGAAAAGAGAGUUAAACAGUACGUGAAAUUGUUGAAAGGGAAGCGCUUGUGACCAGACUUGGGCUUGGUUGAUCAUCCGGGGUUCUCCCCGGUGCACUCUUCCGGCCCAGGCCAGCAUCAGUUCGCCCUGGGGGACAAAGGCUUCGGGAACGUGGCUCUCUCCGGGGAGUGUUAUAGCCCGUUGCGUAAUACCCUGUGGCGGACUGAGGUUCGCGCAUUCGCAAGGAUGCUGGCGUAAUGGUCAUCAGUGACCCGUCUUGAAACACGGACCAAGGAGUCGUCUUCGUAUGCGAGUGUUCGGGUGUCAAACCCCUACGCGAAAUGAAAGUGAACGCAGGUGAGAGCUUCGGCGCAUCAUCGACCGAUCCUGAUGUUAUCGGAUGGAUUUGAGUAAGAGCAUACGGGGCCGGACCCGAAAGAAGGUGAACUAUGCCUGUGUAGGGUGAAGCCAGAGGAAACUCUGGUGGAGGCUCGCAGCGGUUCUGACGUGCAAAUCGAUCGUCAAACAUGGGCAUGGGGGCGAAAGACUAAUCGAACCUUCUAGUAGCUGGUUUCCGCCGAAGUUUCCCUCAGGA